UCCUGGCUCAGGAUGAACGCUAGCUACAGGCUUAACACAUGCAAGUCGAGGGCAGCAUGAUCAAGCUGCUUGAUGAUGGCGACCGGCGCACGGGUGAGUAACGCGUAUCCAACCUUCCCUAGUAGGGCAUAGCCCGGCGAAAGUCGGAUUAAUACCCUAUGUUAUUCGUCGAGGACAUCUGAAGUGAAUCAAAGAUUUAUCGCUAAGGGAUGGGGAUGCGUCUGAUUAGGUUGUUGGCGGGUAACGGCCCACCAAGCCAUCGAUCAGUAGGGGUUCUGAGAGGAAGGUCCCCCACAUUGGUACUGAGACACGGACCAAACUCCUACGGGAGGCAGCAGUGAGGAAUAUUGGUCAAUGGGCGAGAGCCUGAACCAGCCAAGUAGCGUGCCAGGAUGACUGCCCUAUGGGUUGUAAACUGCUUUUAUACGGGGAUAAAGUGAGGUAUGCAUACCUUUUUGUAGGUACCGUAUGAAUAAGGACCGGCUAAUUCCGUGCCAGCAGCUGC
Molecule: ribosomal RNA, 505 nt
Filed under: uncultured bacterium
Lineage: Bacteria
Description: bacterial SSU rRNA
Rfam family: Bacterial small subunit ribosomal RNA
Source: RNAcentral